AGGAAGCACCGGCUAACUCCGUGCCAGCAGCCGCGGUAAUACGGAGGGUGCAAGCGUUGUCCGGAUUUACUGGGUGUAAAGGGCGCGUAGGCGGGGAAGUGUGUCGGAAGUGAAAUCGUGCGGCUUAACCGUAUCAAUGGCUUCCGAAACUGUUUCUCUUGAGUGCGGAAGGGGCAGAUGGAAUUCCUGGUGUAGCGGUAAAAUGCGUAGAUAUCAGGAAGAACACCGGUGGCGAAGGCGGUCUGCUGGUCCGCAACUGACGCUGAGGCGCGAAAGUGUGGGGAGCAAACAGGAUUAGAUACCCUGGUAGUCCACACCGUAAACGAUGGUCACUAGUCGUCGGGGGAUUCGACCCCCUCGGUGACGACGCUAACGCA
This 377-nucleotide ribosomal RNA is filed under the name uncultured Chlorobiota bacterium. RNAcentral describes it as "bacterial SSU rRNA". It matches the Rfam family "Bacterial small subunit ribosomal RNA", at positions 485 to 859 of the family's 1533-position model. Lineage: Bacteria; Pseudomonadati; Chlorobiota. The record is from RNAcentral.